AACCAAUUAACUCUAACGU
RNAcentral lists this small nuclear RNA (19 nucleotides) under Arabidopsis thaliana (thale cress). RNAcentral's name for it is "snRNA_15261". Lineage: Eukaryota; Viridiplantae; Streptophyta; Magnoliopsida; Brassicales; Brassicaceae. The record is from RNAcentral.